Peromyscus leucopus (white-footed mouse) is the source of this 2438-nucleotide long non-coding RNA. RefSeq lists it as uncharacterized. NCBI's taxonomy places the organism in Eukaryota, Metazoa, Chordata, Mammalia, Rodentia, Cricetidae. The record is from RefSeq and is a predicted model, not a curated record. The transcript is spliced from 3 exons.
CCGCAGAGGUCCAGGGGGCCUCGGGGCGGGGAGCCUACGCGGGCCGACGCCGCGGCUCCGGAGCGACCGCCGUGGGGUCUCGGGGGUCCUGGGAUCGAAGGCCUGGGACCCCGGGUGCGCAGCCCGCGCUCCCAUUACCAGUCUGAGACUAGCUGGAGCUGCCCCAAACCAGCUAGUCCAGGCCCCCUGCGCUGAGGCUCCACCUUGGAAGGGCGGAGGAGCUGAGGGCGAGGUUUCCCGUUAGAAUCACCCGGCGGUGUCGGGGGCUGAGGCCAGGCCUCAAAAGCGACUUCUAAAGCCGCAGGCUCCGGUGCAGUGUUGGGGGAGCCGUGGUCACCGGUGGCUGUCAGGCUUGCGCUGCUCCCCGGCUGGACCUCGCCCCAGGCUUAGGAUCCAGUGCUUCCCAUCCGCAGGAGCCACGCUCGCUCGCUUUUGGAGUUGGGUGCAGAAGUGGGUUCCUUGCUCUCAGCGGCUUGGAAGGCCCAGGUGAUUCCUGUGCACUUACAAGAUGGAGCGGUGCUGCCUCAAAAGAUGACAGCUGAUCGGAAAAACACCGGGAAACGAUAGGGGUGACAUAGAGGAGAGAGGAGGGAAAACCCGUUCAGGGGGAGCACAGAGCCCGUGCUCUCCGUCCGUGUUCACCUGUGUGGGUAACUCCCCCUGUUCCAGAUGCCAACACCACACACACACACACACACACACACAUACACACACACACACACAGACACACACACACACGGGGGCGGGGGGAGUGGCAGAGACAGACAGACAGGCAGACAGAGAGCACUCCAUUUCUCCUCGUGUGUCUAGUUUCCCUUAGAAGGCCGUGUUCUGAAAGAUGCCCAGAUAAGUCUCACUUCCAAAAUGAUGUCUUCACUUACGAAUUUUUCUUCCUGUGACCUCUUCACUCUUCAGACUCCCCAGAUCUCUCCAGCUGUUGCAUUUUCAUCGUUGGAUUUUCACUUUAGGGUCUGAACACAGUGUUUGUUUGUUUCCCUACUGCAGAUAGUAUUUUUCUGCGAGAAUUCACACCUCACUCAUUGCUGGCACAAAAUUAUGUUGAGGAUCAGUCAGCACUGAAAAGGCCUCUGUCGGUCCUUGGUAGUCCUGGGUAGGUAGACAGAGAGUCAAGGCCAGUGAACUACAUUUCCACCCAUCGAACCUGAGAAAAGCUGUAGAACGAAGGGACGGGACGUGACUAAAUACCGAAGCGUGGAGGCAGUUUGAGCGCUGUAUCCAAAGGGGAGCUUGUGCCUUGCAUGCUGUCUGUUGGUGAUAUUAGAAGCAGUGCAGGAAUGGGGAGAAGGAAAAGGAACAUCAUCUGAAGACAGAGACCACCAAGGAAGAGCAAGCGAUCACAGAGGCAUAGAUGGAAAUGUUUCAACAGGAUCUCUAAGGAUAGAAGCAAGGAAGGAUUCUUCACUACAGAUUUCACAGGGAACAUGGCCCUGCUGACAUCUUCAUUUCUGAUGUCUGUCCAUCAGAGCCAUGGAUAGUUUCUGUAGAUUUAACAGAAAACAGACAAAAAUGGGACUUUGUUAAAGCCUCCCUUGAAAAGUCUAUGUAUCUGCUGUACCAUGUUCCCUGUUCUUUAUGAGGACCAAUCAUGUGACUUGUAGAUUCCCACUUGGCUAAAUUUCACAUUCUCCUUAUUUCCCUGGAACAUGAAGUAAACCAACUCUUGUGUUCCUUACUGUCCAAGCAUAAGAAUAUACCGGAACCAGGAGUGGGGCCAUAACAAUAAACAUUGGUGAGAAAUGAUGGCCACGUGAAGCUGUUUGCUGUGAUGGGGUCAUGUCAGAAGCAGGGAAGUUCUUACUGUAUCUACACACAUCUGCUGCAUUUGUACACCAGCCAUAAUCUGCUGCCUUAAGAUAAUUACACAAUGUCCCAAAGCAAGGGUUUGAGAGCUUUUUUAACCUCCAAAGAUGAGGUCUAAAAAAAAAUCUAUAGAAUUGAAAGUUCCAUUGAAUUCCUGAUUAAUCCAUACCUCCAUGUGAAAAGUUAGACCAUAAUCAUCAGUUUCAAAUUCUAUUAAUGAGCUACUAAAACAGAAGAGGUCAAGUGACUUACUCAAGACCAGACCAGUUUUACGCUAUGUACAUUCUACCACAAUUAAAAGUAAUUAAAAAUUAAUAAAAGCAUUCACUUUGUUAUGAGUUAUGUAAAUUAAUUAUUUGAAAUGCAAAUAGGAUAAACAGGAUUAUGUGUGAAUAUUUAAGGCUGAAGAUCAAACAAGUUCUCUGCUAAUGGCCUUGUAGUCUACCCUGAAUGGUAUAUGUUGGGGCAAAGAAGGAGUUAUUUCCAAACAAGUUUAUGUUAAUAUGAAUAUUUUGCUGAAGUGGCCUACUAGCAAAUGAGACAAAAGUUUAAGAUAAUCUAAUUUUUAUGACCCUUACAGAAUAGUUCAAACAUAGAGACUAUGUCUUAUUGUAUUU